UUAAAGUUGAUAGCGAAGUUUAGGGAGGCUAAAUUAGAAUUAGAAAAAAAUUAAAAGAAAAAAUUGUAAGAAAUAAAAUAAAUCAAAUUAAAUUAAAAAAUAGAUAUAUAGGGUCAAAAUGAAAUGUGCGAAAUAGGACAGGGACUAGACAUGAAAUUUUAUGAAUCAUCCAAACGCAAUGUUCUGCGAAGGAUUAAACUAAAAUAAAACUGAAAUUAAGUAGUAAAAUUUUAAAAAAAAAAAGGAAAAGGAGCGAAAUAGGAUUAAAAUUAAAAAAGAAUAAAGGCGAAAGGACCAAAAGGGUAAAUAUCCCCUUUUGCAAAAACGCGGGGAUCCUCCAGGAGUGGGUUGGGUCGUGCUCAGAUCGACCUUAAACAACGCCGUUUUGGCACUUAAAUGACCUAAGUGAAACGACGCCAUUUUGCUUCCUUUAUUUAAUUUAAAAUUCUUUUUAAAAAAAAUUCAUUUUUCUCUCUUCUUCUUCAAAAACAAAGCAAACUCUCUCUCAAGCCCUCUCAGCCCUCCCCUUCCCCCUCCGGCCACGACUCCGGUCACCUGACCAUCGUGGCGGCCGCUGGUCGCCGACAGCGAUGGCGCCGUCCACGGUGGCUGGAGAGCCCAAAAUUCCCUUUUUUUUCCCUCUCGACCCCUAAACUCCGGAUUUAGAGUUAGUUUUUUUCCAAAAAAUGGCCAAAGAAUGCUGAAAUGGGUGAAGACUCUUCGGUGGCCGACGAUGGAAAGACUCAAGUGAGCCCCUCUUCCCUUUUUAUUUUUCUUUUAUUUCGUAUGUAAAAAAAAAAAAAAGAGGAAGGAUUUAAGAAGAAAAAUAUAAAGAAAUAACCUUUAAACUUUUUUGCAUUUGAUUUUUUUCUCUAUGAAAUAUUUUCGAUUUCAAUCUCUCCUCUCCCUCUUACAUCGACUUGGUGAUGGCUUUUCAUAGCCGAAAUUGAUACAAUAUAUUAUGUUUUUUUUUUGCUACUAUUUGCUACUGUUUUGUGUUGUUUGCUUCUGCUUUUUUUUUUCAGUUUGCAGGUGUUGCGUGUUGUUUCCUCUUUGUAGGUGGCAGAGAUGUCAGAUGGCCGUGGCAGAAGGUAGUGCGGCGCGCCUAGGGCAUUAGGUUUCUUUCUCUGGUUGAAAAUGUUUAGGUAGUGAGCUUAUUUGGCCAUUAGGGUUUUUUUUUUAUUUUUUGGGUCAAUGGCCAUUAGGAAAUAGGGUUGUUUUUAGUCUGGGCCGUUCGGGUUUUGGGCCUGUUGUAAAAAUUUGGACUGCUUAAUUUUAUUAAAAGUUGGGGUAAAAUUGGGUUAUCAUAAUUAUAAUCUCCAAAUUAGACAUACAUUUUUUUUUGACAUCCUAUCUUCAAUAAAGAGAAAGACAUUUUUUUUAAAUAUUUGUAUGUUAAUUAAGAAGAUCGAAAUCAUAAGAUUUGAAGAUUUGAACAUGUUUCUUAGACAUAUAAAUUUCGUUCUUGAUAAUUUGACAUUUAUCUAAUUUUAUA
Molecule: long non-coding RNA, 1495 nt
Filed under: Gossypium barbadense (sea-island cotton)
Lineage: Eukaryota; Viridiplantae; Streptophyta; Magnoliopsida; Malvales; Malvaceae
Description: long non-coding RNA (GBAR_LNC002658)
Source: RNAcentral